Molecule: ribosomal RNA, 746 nt
Filed under: uncultured Parvimonas sp.
Lineage: Bacteria; Bacillati; Bacillota; Tissierellia; Tissierellales; Peptoniphilaceae
Description: bacterial SSU rRNA
Rfam family: Bacterial small subunit ribosomal RNA
Source: RNAcentral
GACGAACGCUGGCGGCGUGCUUAACACAUGCAAGUCGAACGUGAUUUUUGUGGAAAUUCUUUCGGGAAUGGAAAUGAAAUGAAAGUGGCGAACGGGUGAGUAACACGUGAGCAACCUACCUUACACAGGGGGAUAGCCGUUGGAAACGACGAUUAAUACCGCAUGAGACCACAAAGCCACAUGGCUUAGGGGUAAAAGAUUUAUCGGUGUAAGAUGGGCUCGCGUCUGAUUAGCUAGUUGGAAGGGUAAAGGCCUACCAAGGCGACGAUCAGUAGCCGGUCUGAGAGGAUGAACGGCCACAUUGGAACUGAGACACGGUCCAAACUCCUACGGGAGGCAGCAGUGGGGAAUAUUGCACAAUGGGGGGAACCCUGAUGCAGCGACGCCGCGUGAGCGAAGAAGGUUUUCGAAUCGUAAAGCUCUGUCCUAUGAGAAGAUAAUGACGGUAUCAUAGGAGGAAGCCCCGGCUAAAUACGUGCCAGCAGCCGCGGUAAUACGUAUGGGGCGAGCGUUGUCCGGAAUUAUUGGGCGUAAAGGGUACGUAGGCGGUUUUUUAAGUCAGGUGUGAAAGCGUGAGGCUUAACCUCAUUAAGCACUUGAAACUGGAAGACUUGAGUGAAGGAGAGGAAAGUGGAAUUCCUAGUGUAGCGGUGAAAUGCGUAGAUAUUAGGAGGAAUACCGGUGGCGAAGGCGACUUUCUGGACUUUUACUGACGCUCAGGUACGAAAGCGUGGGGAGCAAACAGG